RNAcentral lists this ribosomal RNA (251 nucleotides) under uncultured prokaryote. RNAcentral describes it as "partial 16S rRNA". It matches the Rfam family "Bacterial small subunit ribosomal RNA", at positions 525 to 775 of the family's 1533-position model. The record is from RNAcentral.
ACGUAGGAGGCGAGCGUUAUCCGGAUUUACUGGGCUUAAAGCGCGUGUAGGCGGUCUAUUAAGUUGGUUGUGAAAGCCUCCCGCUUAACUGGGGGACGGCGUUUAAGACUGUUGGGCUAGAGUAUGGGAGAGGUAAGCGGAAUUUCUAGUGUAGUGGUGAAAUGCUUAGAUAUUCGGAGGAACACCAAUUGCGAAGGCAGCUUCCUGGCCCAUAACUGACGCUGAGGCGCGAAAGCGAGGGUAUCAAACGG